GUGCACCAGGCGAGAAUCUUCCCCAAUGGGCGCAAGCCUGAGGGAGCGACGCCGCGUGGGGGAUGAAGGUCUUCGGAUCGUGAACCCCUGUUGCCCGGGACGAAGUUCUGACGGUACCGGGUAAGGAAGCUCCGGCUAACUACGUGCCAGCCAGCCGCGGUAAUACGUAGGGAGCGAGCGUUGCUCGGGAAUUACUGGGCGUAAAGGGUGUGUAGGUGGACAUGCAAGUCCAGGGUGAAAUCCUUCGGCUCAACCGAAGAACUGCUCU
This 268-nucleotide ribosomal RNA is filed under the name uncultured microorganism. Its description in RNAcentral is "partial 16S ribosomal RNA". It matches the Rfam family "Bacterial small subunit ribosomal RNA", at positions 346 to 627 of the family's 1533-position model. The record is from RNAcentral.